GACGAACGCUGGCGGCGUGCUUAACACAUGCAAGUCGAGCGGUAAGGCCCUUUCGGGGAUACACGAGCGGCGAACGGGUGAGUAACACGUGGGUGACCUGCCCUCAGCUCUGGGAUAAGCCUGGGAAACUGGGUCUAAUACUGGAUAUGACUCCACGGUGCAUGUCGUGGGGUGGAAAGCCUUGUGCGGCUGAGGAUGGGGCCCGCGGCCUAUCAGCUUGGGUGGGUGAUGGCUACCAAGGCGACGACGGGUAGCCGGCCUGAGAGGGCGACCGGCCACACUGGGACUGAGACACGGCCCAGACUCCUACGGGAGGCAGCAGUGGGGAAUCUUGCGCAAUGGGCGAAAGCCUGACGCAGCGACGCCGCGUGAGGGAUGACGG
RNAcentral lists this ribosomal RNA (382 nucleotides) under uncultured bacterium. RNAcentral's name for it is "bacterial SSU rRNA". It matches the Rfam family "Bacterial small subunit ribosomal RNA", at positions 28 to 414 of the family's 1533-position model. The record is from RNAcentral.